Molecule: ribosomal RNA, 2081 nt
Filed under: Streptococcus suis
Lineage: Bacteria; Bacillati; Bacillota; Bacilli; Lactobacillales; Streptococcaceae
Description: partial 23S ribosomal RNA
Rfam family: Bacterial large subunit ribosomal RNA
Source: RNAcentral
UAUGAUGCGAGGUUAAGUUGAAGAGACGGAGCCGUAGGGAAACCGAGUCUUAAAAGGGCGCUUUAGUAUCAUGGUGUAGACCCGAAACCAUGUGACCUACCCAUGAGCAGGUUGAAGGUGAGGUAAAACUCACUGGAGGACCGAACCAGGGCACGUUGAAAAGUGCUUGGAUGACUUGUGGGUAGCGGAGAAAUUCCAAACGAACUUGGAGAUAGCUGGUUCUCUCCGAAAUAGCUUUAGGGCUAGCGUCGAUGUUAAGUCUCUUGGAGGUAGAGCACUGUUUGGGUGAGGGGUCCAUCCCGGAUUACCAAUCUCAGAUAAACUCCGAAUGCCAAUGAGAUAUAAUCGGCAGUCAGACUGCGAGUGCUAAGAUCCGUAGUCGAAAGGGAAACAGCCCAGACCACCAGCUAAGGUCCCAAAAUAACUGUUAAGUGGAAAAGGAUGUGGGGUUGCACAGACAACUAGGAUGUUAGCUUAGAAGCAGCUAUUCAUUCAAAGAGUGCGUAAUAGCUCACUAGUCGAGUGACCCUGCGCCGAAAAUGUACCGGGGCUAAAACAGUUUACCGAAGCUGUGGAUGACACGAAGUGUCAUGGUAGGAGAGCGUUCUAUGUGCGACGAAGGUAUACCGUGAGGAGUGCUGGAGCGCAUAGAAGUGAGAAUGCCGGUAUGAGUAGCGCAAGACAGGUGAGAAUCCUGUCCACCGUAAGACUAAGGUUUCCAGGGGAAGGCUCGUCCGCCCUGGGUUAGUCGGGUCCUAAGGAGAGACCGAAAGGUGUAUCCGAUGGCCAACAGGUUGAUAUUCCUGUACUAGAGUAUAUAGUGAUGGAGGGACGCAGUAGGCUAACUAAACCGGACGAAUGGAAGAGUCCGGCUAAUCAGUGAGGUGUGAGAUGAGUUAAAUGCUUAUCUCUAUAACAUUGAGCUGUGAUGGGGAGCGAAGUUUAGUAGCGAAGUUAGUGAUGUCACACUGCCAAGAAAAGCUUCUAGCGUUUAAGUAUACUCUACCCGUACCGCAAACCGACACAGGUAGUCGAGGCGAGUAGCCUCAGGUGAGCGAGAGAACUCUCGUUAAGGAACUCGGCAAAAUGACCCCGUAACUUCGGGAGAAGGGGUGCUGUCAUAAGACAGCCGCAGUGAAUAGGCCCAAGCAACUGUUUAUCAAAAACACAGCUCUCUGCUAAAUCGUAAGAUGAUGUAUAGGGGGUGACGCCUGCCCGGUGCUGGAAGGUUAAGAGGAGUGCUUAGACAAUAGUCGAAGGUAUGAAUUGAAGCCCCAGUAAACGGCGGCCGUAACUAUAACGGUCCUAAGGUAGCGAAAUUCCUUGUCGGGUAAGUUCCGACCCGCACGAAAGGCGUAAUGAUUUGGGCACUGUCUCAACGAGAGACUCGGUGAAAUUUUAGUACCUGUGAAGAUGCAGGUUACCCGCGACAGGACGGAAAGACCCCAUGGAGCUUUACUGCAGUUUGAUAUUGAGUAUCUGUACCACAUGUACAGGAUAGGUAGGAGCCUAGGAAGUUGGAACGCCAGUUUCAAUGGAGGCGUUGUUGGGAUACUACCCUUGUGUUAUGGCUACUCUAACCCAGAUAGGUUAUCCCUAUCGGAGACAGUGUCUGACGGGCAGUUUGACUGGGGCGGUCGCCUCCUAAAAGGUAACGGAGGCGCCCAAAGGUUCCCUCAGACUGGUUGGAAAUCAGUCGCAGAGUGUAAAGGUAUAAGGGAGCUUGACUGCGAGAGCAACAACUCGAGCAGGGACGAAAGUCGGGCUUAGUGAUCCGGUGGUUCCGUAUGGAAGGGCCAUCGCUCAACGGAUAAAAGCUACCCUGGGGAUAACAGGCUUAUCUCCCCCAAGAGUUCACAUCGACGGGGAGGUUUGGCACCUCGAUGUCGGCUCGUCGCAUCCUGGGGCUGUAGUCGGUCCCAAGGGUUGGGCUGUUCGCCCAUUAAAGCGGCACGCGAGCUGGGUUCAGAACGUCGUGAGACAGUUCGGUCCCUAUCCGUCGCGGGCGUAGGAAAUUUGAGAGGAUCUGCUCCUAGUACGAGAGGACCAGAGUGGACUUACCGCUGGUGUACCAGUUGUCU